GAAUAAAUCUGACCUGUUGUCGCUGGCUCUCCGGAGCAUGUGCACGCUUGUCACCUUUAUCUUUCCACCUGUGAACACACUGUAGUCCUGGAUACCUCUCGCCGCAAGGCGGAUGCGAAGUCUGCUUCGGCUUACUUCGAAUUUCCAGGUCUAUGAUUUUACAAACCCCAACGAAUGUUUUAGAAUGUUAUCAUCAGGCCUCGUGCCUAUAAAACUAUACAACUUUCAGCAACGGAUCUCUUGGUUCU
This 248-nucleotide unclassified non-coding RNA is filed under the name rhizosphere metagenome. Its description in RNAcentral is "partial ribosomal RNA internal transcribed spacer region". The record is from RNAcentral.